GCAAAAAUCCCUCUCUCUAUCUCAGACGCACAGAAGCCGCUUCAAAAAUCUGCAAUGGCGACACUAGGUAGAUUAUCGAGAAGAGUCAUAGCGUCAACUAUCUCCGGUCACCUCCGCCACCACCAGAGUCACAAUCUCAUCCGCCGUUCGCUGGCGACGGAAGCUCAGGCGGCAAUAAAUGAAUCGCCGGAUCGAGUGAAAUGGGACUAUAGAGGGCAGAGGAGGAUCAUUCCAUUAGGUCAGUGGGCACCGAAAAUAGCCGUCGAUGCCUACGUGGCGCCGAAUGUUGUCCUUGCUGGUCAGGUGACUGUCUGUGACGGCGCUUCUGUAUGGAACGGAGCCGUCCUAAGAGGAGAUCUAAAUAAGAUUACAGUAGGGUUCUGCUCUAGCAUUCAGGAAAAAUGUGUGGUUCACGCUGCUUGGUCUUCUCCUACAGGGCUGCCAGCAGAAACAGUAGUAGACAGGUACGUUACAGUUGGUGCAUACUGUCUGUUGCGAUCCUGCACAAUUGAGCCAGA
RNAcentral lists this unclassified non-coding RNA (518 nucleotides) under Hevea brasiliensis (rubber tree). The record is from RNAcentral. Lineage: Eukaryota; Viridiplantae; Streptophyta; Magnoliopsida; Malpighiales; Euphorbiaceae.